This 429-nucleotide ribosomal RNA is filed under the name Acidobacteriota bacterium. RNAcentral's name for it is "Acidobacteria bacterium partial 16S ribosomal RNA". It matches the Rfam family "Bacterial small subunit ribosomal RNA", at positions 355 to 776 of the family's 1533-position model. The record is from RNAcentral. Lineage: Bacteria; Pseudomonadati; Acidobacteriota.
UGGGGAAUUUUGGACAAUGGGGGAAACCCUGAUCCAGCCAUCCCGCGUGUGCGAUGAAGGCCUUCGGGUUGUAAAGCACUUUUGGCAGGAAAGAAACGUCGUGGGUUAAUACCCCGUGAAACUGACGGUACCUGCAGAAUAAGCACCGGCUAACUACGUGCCAGCAGCCGCGGUAAUACGUAGGGUGCAAGCGUUAAUCGGAAUUACUGGGCGUAAAGCGUGCGCAGGCGGUUCGGAAAGAAAGAUGUGAAAUCCCAGAGCUCAACUUUGGAACUGCAUUUUUAACUACCGGGCUAGAGUGUGUCAGAGGGAGGUGGAAUUCCGCGUGUAGCAGUGAAAUGCGUAGAUAUGCGGAGGAACACCGAUGGCGAAGGCAGCCUCCUGGGAUAACACUGACGCUCAUGCACGAAAGCGUGGGGAGCAAACAGG